CUAGCACAUUCACAGGUCCUCUCCUGAUCUGUGGGGCCAGGAUUUGGUAGCUGGUGCUAAGAGAAAACCCCCUGAUUGCAUCCUUGCCCUGGUACUGUACCAGUGGCAGAUAUCAUUCAGUGGGACAAAG
This is a small nucleolar RNA of Ictidomys tridecemlineatus (thirteen-lined ground squirrel), 130 nucleotides long. The record is from Ensembl. NCBI's taxonomy places the organism in Eukaryota, Metazoa, Chordata, Mammalia, Rodentia, Sciuridae.